Hyla sarda is the source of this 904-nucleotide long non-coding RNA. RefSeq lists it as uncharacterized. The transcript has 4 exons. NCBI's taxonomy places the organism in Eukaryota, Metazoa, Chordata, Amphibia, Anura, Hylidae. The record is from RefSeq and is a predicted model, not a curated record.
GGAGAAAGCGCUCGAGACAGUCAAUGUCGGUUGUGGUGAUGCAGUUAGGAAUAAGCUACAAUGGCCAAUCACCUUUGCAGCAGCAACACUAAAACGCGAGCGAAUAAACAUCUGCAGAAACAGCUGAAGCUAACUAGAUAAUUUACAAAUAUUAUAGCCGAACAUUAAGCGCAUUGGCAAAGUGAAAACAUGACAUCGGCAGCGCUGUGGUGCAACAAAACAUCACAGUUACAGCGAAGCAUCACGGAGGAGAAGAGACACCCAUCACAUGACACUAAGAAUACAGAUGAUUGGACAGGAAACAACAAAUGGGGAGCCUCGAAACAUAGAAAGGCACAACCCAACAAGGAGGAACUAAGGAAAACGCGAUGAAUAUUCAAACAAGGGGGGCGGCAAGGAGGAGACCCAGAGGAUGCAAAGUGUGAGGUCACGAACGCAAGAUGGCCGCCGAACGGAGAAAAAAACUGGGUCGUAAGCAAGGCUAAACCUGCAAAACUACAAUACUUCCGCCGAGGAAAAAAGAUGAAGGUCAUUAUAAGGUGAUUUUAUGACAGGUCAAGCCGCAUUCGCAUUCAGUCCAUGAUGAGAAGGAAAAUUCUGGCAUAAUGAGUCAGCAAAAAUACCAUGUAUGGAACUAGCCUUCUGCCAUCUAGAUGUAUGGUGUAUAAAGAAUUACAAUAGUGACACAUUGAAAGCAAGACCAUAAGGCUAGAAAAUUUUGAUUGCAACAGGAGUCACAUGACCAUAAAUCACUGUGUCGCAUUACAGAGGUCAUGCUGCAUUGCAGCUUAGGUAAGUAAAUGGUGUCGCAUUGCAACCCUCAAUUGGUCAUGACUGAUAUCUGACAGUCAAAAGAUACUUAACAAUACUAAUUAAAUAUUCAGUUUUAGGAUGCGUUCCCACA